RNAcentral lists this ribosomal RNA (450 nucleotides) under uncultured bacterium. RNAcentral's name for it is "partial 16S ribosomal RNA". It matches the Rfam family "Bacterial small subunit ribosomal RNA", at positions 354 to 796 of the family's 1533-position model. The record is from RNAcentral.
GUGGGGAAUUUUGGACAAUGGGCGAAAGCCUGAUCCAGCCAUGCCGCGUGCAGGAUGAAGGCCUUCGGGUUGUAAACUGCUUUUGUACGGAACGAAAAGACUCCUUCUAAUAAAGGGGGUCCAUGACGGUACCGUAAGAAUAAGCACCGGCUAACUACGUGCCAGCAGCCGCGGUAAUACGUAGGGUGCAAGCGUUAAUCGGAAUUACUGGGCGUAAAGCGUGCGCAGGCGGUUAUAUAAGACAGAUGUGAAAUCCCCGGGCUCAACCUGGGAACUGCAUUGGUGACUGUAUAGCUAGAGUACGGUAGAGGGGGAUGGAAUUCCGCGUGUAGCAGUGAAAUGCGUAGAUAUGCGGAGGAACACCGAUGGCGAAGGCAAUCCCCUGGACCUGUACUGACGCUCAUGCACGAAAGCGUGGGGAGCAAACAGGAUUAGAUACCCUGGUAGUCC